CCUACGGGUGGCAGCAGUGAGGAAUAUUGGUCAAUGGACGAGAGUCUGACCCAGCCAAGUAGCGUGCAGGAUAACUGCCCUAUGGGUUGUAAACUUCUUUUAUAUGGGAAUAAAAUGUUCCCCGUGUGGGAUUUUGUAUGUACCAUCUGCAUAAGGAUCGGCUAACUCCGUGCCAGCAGCCGAGGUAAUACGGAGGAUCCGAGCUUUAUCCGGAUUUGUUGGGUUUAAAGGGAGCGUAGGUGGAUUGUUAAGUCAGUUGUGAAAGUUUGCGGCUCAACCGUAAAAUUGCAGUUGAAACUGGCAGUCUUGAGUACAGUAGAGGUGGGCGGAAGUCGUGGUGUAGCGGUGAAAUGCUUAGAGAUCACGAAGAACUCCGAUUGCGAAGGCAGCUCACUGGACUGCAACUGACACUGAGGCUCGAAAGUGUGGGUAUCAAACAGGAUUAGAGACCCUUGUAGUC
This 460-nucleotide ribosomal RNA is filed under the name uncultured bacterium. Its description in RNAcentral is "partial 16S ribosomal RNA". It matches the Rfam family "Bacterial small subunit ribosomal RNA", at positions 338 to 795 of the family's 1533-position model. The record is from RNAcentral.